Caenorhabditis remanei is the source of this 115-nucleotide non-coding RNA. Lineage: Eukaryota; Metazoa; Nematoda; Chromadorea; Rhabditida; Rhabditidae. The record is from Rfam.
GCUUACGACCAUAUCACGUUGAAUGCACGCCAUCCCGUCCGAUCUGGCAAGUUAAGCAACGUUGAGUCAGUUAGUACUUGGAUCGGAGACGCUGGGAAUCCUGGAUGUGUAGCUU